Molecule: ribosomal RNA, 246 nt
Filed under: uncultured bacterium
Lineage: Bacteria
Description: partial small subunit ribosomal RNA
Rfam family: Bacterial small subunit ribosomal RNA
Source: RNAcentral
GGAAUCAACGCUGGCGGCGUGCCUAACACAUGCAAGUCGAACGAGAAAGUGGAGCAAUCCAUGAGUAAAGUGGCGCACGGGUGAGUAACACGUGACUAACCUACCCUUGAGUGGGGAAUAACUUCGGGAAACCGAGGCUAAUACCGCAUAACACCUACGGGUCAAAGGAGCAAUUCGCUUAAGGAGGGGGUCGCGGCAGAUUAGUUAGUUGGCGGGGUAAUGGCCCACCAAGACGGUGAUCUGUAU